Molecule: ribosomal RNA, 139 nt
Filed under: uncultured eukaryote
Lineage: Eukaryota
Description: partial 18S ribosomal RNA
Rfam family: Eukaryotic small subunit ribosomal RNA
Source: RNAcentral
UGGUGGAGUGAUUUGUCUGGUUAAUUCCGUUAACGAACGAGACCUCGACCUGCUAAAUAGUUGGCCGAACCUUUGGUUCGUGUGUGACUUCUUAGAGGGACUAUCGGUGUGUAGCCGGUGGAAGUUCGAGGCAAUAACA